This 72-nucleotide transfer RNA is filed under the name Fukomys damarensis (Damara mole-rat). It matches the Rfam family "tRNA". From Rfam's summary of the family: Transfer RNA (tRNA) molecules are approximately 80 nucleotides in length. Their secondary structure includes four short double-helical elements and three loops (D, anti-codon, and T loops). Lineage: Eukaryota; Metazoa; Chordata; Mammalia; Rodentia; Bathyergidae. The record is from Rfam by way of RNAcentral.
GGUGGUGUGGCUUAGUGGUAGAGCCCUUGCCUAGCAAGCACGAGGCCCUGGGUUCAAUCUCUAGCACUGCAA